Molecule: ribosomal RNA, 250 nt
Filed under: uncultured bacterium
Lineage: Bacteria
Description: partial 16S ribosomal RNA
Rfam family: Bacterial small subunit ribosomal RNA
Source: RNAcentral
AUGUCAAUUAGCUGUUGGGACAUGAUGUUGCUUAGUAGCGUAGCUAACGCGUGAAAUUGACCGCCUGGGGAGUACGGUCGCAAGAUUAAAACUCAAAGGAAUUGACGGGGACCCGCACAAGCGGUGGAUGAUGUGGAUUAAUUCGAUGCAACGCGAAGAACCUUACCUGGUCUUGACAUGUACGGAAUCCUCCAGAGACGGAGGAGUGCCUUCGGGAACCGUAACACAGGUGCUGCAUGGCUGUCGUCAG